RNA transcript from Betta splendens (Siamese fighting fish), 2673 nucleotides. It is a transcript of the gene named docking protein 6, with no coding region annotated. NCBI's taxonomy places the organism in Eukaryota, Metazoa, Chordata, Actinopteri, Anabantiformes, Osphronemidae. The record is from RefSeq and is a predicted model, not a curated record. The transcript has 9 exons.
CGAAUGGUUUCUCCCUCCUCUCCCGGACGGAUUGCGCCGCUGGAGCCGGACAGCCCGAGCGCUGAGCUGCCGGAGCCGGUUGCCCACCGCCCCUCGCUCUCCUCCCCUCUGGAUGUUGGAGGAACCGCGUCCCCCCCCCCCCCUCCACCACCUCCCCUGCUGCAGAAAGAGAGGAGAUUACGCGGACGCGCGGAGGGGAGACUUUAUUCCAUUUUCCACGUCGGGCUGGAAGCCGCGCGCUUCCGCACACCAUGGCUUCCAACUUCAACGACAUAGUCAAACAGGGAUACGUGCGGAUACGGAGUAAGAAGCUGGGGAUCUUCCGGAGGUGUUGGCUAGUGUUUAAGAAGGCCUCCAGUAAAGGGCCCCGGCGGUUAGAGAAGUACCCGGACGAGAAGGCGGCCUACUUCAGGAGCUUCCACAAGGUCACUGAGCUCCACAACGUCAAGAACGUGACCCGGAUGCCGCGCGAGACCAAGAAGCACGCCGUGGCCAUCAUCUUCUGUGACGACGCAGUCAAGACCUUCGCCUGCGAGUCAGAGCUGGACGCGGAGGAGUGGUGCAAGCUGCUGUGCGUGGAGUGCCUGGGCAGCCGGCUCAAUGACAUCAGCCUGGGGGAGCCGGACCUGUUAGCGGCGGGCGUGCAGCAGGAGCAGAACGAGCGCUUCCACGUGUACCUGAUGCCCACGCCCAACCUGGACAUCUACGGGGAGUGCACCAUGCAGAUCACGCACGAGAACAUCUACCUGUGGGACGUCCACAACGCCCGCCUCAAGCUGGUCAUGUGGCCCCUCAGCUCCCUGCGCCGAUACGGCCGGGACGCCACCUGGUUCACCUUCGAGUCUGGAAGGAUGUGCGACACGGGCGAAGGCUUGUUCACGUUCCAGACGCGCGAAGGCGAGAUGAUCUACCAGCGCGUCCACUCGGCCACGCUGGCCAUCGCUCAGCAGCACGAGAGGAUGAUGGAGGAGAUGGAGAAGAGCUCCCAGAUCCACUCCAGGGAGACGCUCACCAAGUCCAUCUCGCUGCCACGCAGCGCCUACUGGCAGCACAUCACGCGGCAGAACAGCGUGGGAGACCUCUACAGUUACCAAGUGUGUUUGAGGACGCGGCGAAAGGUCUCGUCAGACGGGGGAGUGACAGGAGUUGGACCCCUGCUGUGAGGAGGAGCCUUCAACCGAGCUGCGGAUGAGGACGGCAACGCCAUCGAGUCCUCAUUGGCAGAAGCUCUGGAUUUUCCUGGAGCUGUUUUACAUUUCACUCGCUAAACACAGUAGCGGGAUCCGAUUUAUUGGAUUACGAUCAAUGGAACUGUUAAACUACAUUUUUCAAUAUAGGUCAGCGUUUGGUUACUUUCUAUCUAUUUCCGCUGAUUAUUCUCAGCUUUUAGCACAUUUGCAAUUUCUGGCCAAAUAUUUCAUCCACUUAUCAGUUAAUUGUAGGUAAACGAUGAGUCAUCCGCUGUUUACGCUGCCUGUCAAUCACGUUGGGCUCCAUUCAGCUCCACAUAAGUUAUCUGUACAAAACCAAUCUGAACAUGCUCAUUAUUAUUUUUAAACACCUAUCUGUCCAUCAGCUCAUAGUUUUGACGUCACGUGGACGCUUGCUAUGUUCAUCCUACUUCUACAAGCCCGCUGGUAAUUACAGCUAACGCACGCAUUCACGCACGCGAUCGGAGGUAAGACAUCAGGACUUCGGUCCUCGGCGUGUGGCUGAGUCUGCUCUUUGGCUGUAUCACGGCGCUCAUGAUGAAUAUCCAAUCAACACAGUCAAUUUGCUGAGUCAUGCUCGGAUUGCUUUCAAAUACCCUGCAGGGGCAGGGGGAUAAUUAAGUAACACAGUUUCCUUCCCCGUUGAGGUUUACUCACCCAUUUGUUUAUUUCCUUGCCUCAGUUAAUAGGGGAGCUGCCAAGUGAAGUACUGCUUCUCCUCACUUUAAUAUAUCUCACAUCUGCUUUUUGUUCCGCUGGAAAUGUGUCAAAAGUACAUCCCAGAAGCCCUGUUUGCUGUAAUUGAAAGUAAUAAUUGUCAAAUGCGUUGUGUUUAAAAGCAGAAAUGCUGCUUUGUGCUGCCUCCUCCACCUCCGUCGACUCCUGCGCGUUUCUUAUUUCGGCGAGUUCGUUAAUGCACAGAAAAUAAGAGCACUUUUAAAGUCGGGGAGCGGGAGAUGCCUGGAAACCGUUCAAUUACCAACUCUAAUAUUGGAACGGAACAGGACGCACGUCGUCGCUCUCUGCUCCUCUCCUUUUUUUUGCGCUACUUUUUAUUGUUGCUCCUCUCUCUCGUGCGCGCGCGCGCGCUACGCUUCGCAGCCUAGCGCCGAACCAUUAGCAAUUCUAAUGAAAACCAGCGCUGUUCUUAGUUUGAUCGGCGCCGAGUGAUACGAGGGGAUUUUACAGAGCGGGAGCAAGUAUCAAAGACACGCAGACAAGAUGAUACGGGGACGGGCCGUGAUAACGCUAUCUUGAUCCGCAUCAGUCAGGAAGGAAUAUAGUCCGUGUUGAUGCCAAAUUUGAAUCCCAUGAAAAAUUCAUCAGACGCAGGAACCGGCCUGUCGAUGACUUUCAUCCCGCGAGCGCAGACGUUUCCCAGCUUCCUGUCGGACGAGGCGGAGCAGGAGGAGGACCUGCACCAGGAAGAGGCACCAUUGCCCUCUAGUGGCUGCGAAUCCAG